GCAUAUCAAUAAGCGGAGGAAAAGAAACCAACAGGGAUUGCCCUAGUAACGGCGAGUGAAGCGGCAACAGCUCAAAUUUGAAAUCUGGCUCUCGGGCCCGAGUUGUAAUUUGUAGAGGAUACUUUUGAUGCGGUGCCUUCCGAGUUCCCUGGAACGGGACGCCAUAGAGGGUGAGAGCCCCGUCUGGUUGGAUGCCAAAUCUCUGUAAAGUUCCUUCAACGAGUCGAGUAGUUUGGGAAUGCUGCUCUAAAUGGGAGGUAUAUGUCUUCUAAAGCUAAAUACCGGCCAGAGACCGAUAGCGCACAAGUAGAGUGAUCGAAAGAUGAAAAGCACUUUGAAAAGAGAGUUAAAAAGUACGUGAAAUUGUUGAAAGGGAAGCGUUUAUGACCAGACUUGGGCUUGGUUAAUCAUCUGGGGUUCUCCCCAGUGCACUUUUCCAGUCCAGGCCAGCAUCAGUUUUCCCCGGGGGAUAAAGGCGGCGGGAAUGUGGCUCUCUUCGGGGAGUGUUAUAGCCCGUCGUGUAAUACCCUGGGGGGGACUGAGGUUCGCGCAUCUGCAAGGAUGCUGGCGUAAUGGUCAUCAACGACCCGUCUUGAAACACGGACCAAGGAGUCGUCUUCGUAUGCGAGUGUUCGGGUGUCAAACCCCUACGCGUAAUGAAAGUGAACGCAGGUGAGAGCUUCGGCGCAUCAUCGACCGAUCCUGAUGUUCUCGGAUGGAUUUGAGUAAGAGCAUACGGGGCCGGACCCGAAAGAAGGUGAACUAUGCCUGUAUAGGGUGAAGCCAGAGGAAACUCUGGUGGAGGCUCGCAGCGGUUCUGACGUGCAAAUCGAUCGUCAAAUAUGGGCAUGGGGGCGAAAGACUAAUCGAACCUUCUAGUAGCUGGUUUCCGCCGA
RNAcentral lists this ribosomal RNA (896 nucleotides) under Fusarium oxysporum f. sp. gladioli. RNAcentral describes it as "LSU rRNA". It matches the Rfam family "Eukaryotic large subunit ribosomal RNA", at positions 38 to 964 of the family's 3401-position model. The record is from RNAcentral. Lineage: Eukaryota; Fungi; Ascomycota; Sordariomycetes; Hypocreales; Nectriaceae.